GGACCCGCACAAGCGGUGGAGCAUGUGGUUUAAUUCGAUGCAACGCGAAGAACCUUACCUGGCCUUGACAUCUACGGAACCCUGCAGAGAUGUGGGGGUGCCUUCGGGAACCGUAAGACAGGUGCUGCAUGGCUGUCGUCAGCUCGUGUCGUGAGAUGUUGGGUUAAGUCCCGCAACGAGCGCAACCCUUGUCCUUAGUUGCCAUCAUUCAGUUGGGAACUCUAAGGAGACCGCCGGUGACAAACCGGAGGAAGGUGGGGAUGACGUCAAGUCAUCAUGGCCUCCAUGGCCAGGGCUACACACGUGCUACAAUGGCAGGUACAGAGGGAAGCCAACGCGCGAGCGGGAGCCAAUCCCAGAAAGCCUGUCGUAGUCCGGAUCGGAGUCUGCAACUCGACUCCGUGAAGUCGGAAUCGCUAGUAAUCGCAGAUCAGCAUUGCUGCGGUGAAUACGUUCCCGGGUCUU
This 465-nucleotide ribosomal RNA is filed under the name uncultured bacterium. Its description in RNAcentral is "bacterial SSU rRNA". It matches the Rfam family "Bacterial small subunit ribosomal RNA", at positions 917 to 1382 of the family's 1533-position model. The record is from RNAcentral.